CCGGGUCCCACCGGCUCCUCCGGAAGCCGCGGACCGGCCUGGCCCUGACCCCAGGCCGCCCCCCGCUGCCCACCCAGCUCUGGGCGCCCAGGUCCGACCUCCCAGUCGCCCUCUGAGAGCCGAGUCAGCGCGGGGCGGGGGGUCGCCCCCUUUGUCCUCACUCAGGGCGGGAGGCCCUCGGGGUGGCCGCAGACGCCCCGUUGGGCAGCCCUCCAGCCCAGCUCUCCAGGCAGGAGGUGGGGGAAGCCUGGGAAAGCGGAGGGGGGGCCCCGGGAUCCCCCGAGGCGCGGGGCUCCCGGCGAAGCCUCAGAUCUCCGGCCCUUCCCGGGGAGGGUGCGGGCGGGGCGGGCCUUUGGAAAUGCAGAUGAGCCGCCGCCCGGGCCGGGGUUGAACCUUCUGACUCAGCCACCCCCGGCCGCCCGGGCCGCUGGGGGAGGGGCGGCGUCUGGGGUGCUCCCUUUCAGCCCCGGAGCCCGUCUGCUGUGUAUUCGGCCGGUCACAUCUCUCUCCCCCAACGCCCUGAUCCGCCCUCCACCUUCCUCUCCUCCAGGUUCUGGGCCGGAGAAGGGGCGACGUUCGGGCACCCCCCGAAUGGACAAUCUUUCCUUCUGUCAACGGCAGGGGCAGGCCUAGUUUGACUCUGACAGUCCUCCCACUAAGCUUCUGUUGUCAGGCAUUUGGGGCGUGUAAGUCUCUGCCGAAUAUAGCAGCAUACGAGAGGAUCCACUUGCAAGUAUUUCCCAGUUGUGUGUUCUUCGGCGGGGGGAGGGCCCUGGGUGCCGCCUACUUCUGAAAGACACAGGUCACUGUCAGAAAGCCCAACUGUGCUGUGGCCUUCCCUCCAGCCGCCCCCGUGGGGCAUGUGGGGUGACAGUGUGAGCCGUCCUCUGAUGUCUGGCUGCUAGAGAGGCAAAGAACAGAGACCCGAGGUUCCGGCCACCUUUCUCUAUGAAAGGGCCUUCCUUGACGCUUCUCCACCUUCCUGGGAUUGUUUUCUUCUCCAGUCCCCGAAUGGGCAGGCCUGUAUAUAAGCCUUGUUUCUAGAACCAGACAAAGCUGGAUUUGAAACCUGGCGAGCCAUUGAACAGCUAUGGCCUUGCGUAAGCGGUAUAGCCUCCAAGCCUAUUUCUCCAUCUCCGAAAACAGGGCUAGAUCAGUGGUUCUUAGUCUGGAACCGGCAUCAGAAUCACACCGGAAGGGGGGCUCACUGAAAAUGGACCACCGGGCCUGGUGCCCAAGUGUCUGAUUCAGUGGGUUGGUCCUUAGGACUGGCAUUUCUAACAAGUUCCCAGGUGAGGUGAGGCUGAUGCUGUGGUCUGGGAACACAUUUUGAGACUCCAGCCCCUAGCCUGGUAACACCUGGGGUUUUGACGCAGAAGUGCCACGUUCCACGCUUGGCACAUAGUAAUUGAUUUCAUUCUAACGCUAGCCGACUUCAUGUAUUGAAUAGUUUCCCAUCUCAGUGUCUAAGAAGCUCCACAGCUGGAGAUGGCGGCCCUUGGUCUCGGAGCCCCCCUCCUUGUGAUUUCUGCUUUGUGAUUGCUUUGAUGAACCAUUUGGGUCCAGGUGCUCCUGAUCACACCACCUCCCCUAUUUGGGACUUGUGCCCCACUCCCGCUGUGAGGGCUACACCGAGCUCUGGGGGCCUGUUCGGAUUAACAAGGAGAUCUUGCUAAAGGUAUCUUGGUGCUAAGUUAAGGGAGAUAGUUCGCCAUGGGCUAGGAUCUCUCAGUGCUGGUGACCUUGGGUGAGUGUCUCCCUGUAAAGUGAUAAGGAUGCCUGCUGGAAAGGGUGGUGGGAGGAUUAAGUGCGUUAAAGAGGCCCUCCUCCCAAGCUUUUAGUUGGCCUCCAUUGUGAUCGUGGUUAUUGCUGGGAGUGGCUGCAGGGGGUGGGGGCUGGGCUGCCUCAGAGCUUCCCCCCGCACCAGCCCACCUGCUGAAGCACGUGUCCCUGCCUCAGGGCAAAGGGGAAUCUGGCGCUCCCUGGGAAGGCGGCCAACGCGGUUCUCCUCUGGAGUGGUUGAGUCCAGCUGCAGGCCUUUCCCCAUCCACAGGGGCUGUUCCAUGAUGGGGUCAAGAUUUGGGUCACCCACCCAUGGUCCGGGGAGAAGUGACUCCCCAAGGUCACAAGGCCACCACCAAUAGAGCCAGGAUGGGGUUCCAGGUGGCUUGACUUGGCAGCCAGCGCCUGUGCCCAUGGCACCCCCUCACCCCAGCUGUCUGGGUUAUUUUGGGCUUCCUCCCGUGCCAGCUGUCUGCUGGCAUCCCUGCCCGGGACUGUCUGGUUGGAAGUAACUGGCGUGGUGCUGUUGGCUCCUCCUGUGAGGGCCAGGGCUGGGUCUUCAAUCCCCGAUGAGCCGUGCUGGGUCCAGCUCCUUUGCUGGGAGGGAAGAGUGUUCCUGCCCAGACUCCCCGCUGCCCAAGUACAGCAAGAGGGCGAAAGCACCUGAUAAAAAUUGAGGUUCACAUUGUUAAUAUCCCAAAAGCCUCCUCCUUCUAUACUCCCUGAAACCUGUUUUAAAUUUGGCUCUGCCAUUGAACCCCGUUGCUCUCACGUUACCCUCUGCCGCCCGAGGGUGUGGCGCCUCCCUUUAGAGUCUUCGUUGCUCUCCGGGUGGGGUCUUUACUCCCCACCUGCUUUGGAUAAUUAAGUAAUUGAUGUACGUCUCCCUCCCAGCUGCACCCUGGAGGGCUCCAGCCAGUUUCUCCCCUCCCUGGAUCCAAUCAGUGAGCUGUUGGGUGCUCAGCUGUGGUCUGGAUGUGGUUCUCGGCACGGUGUCGGGACCCACCUGGCUGGACUGUACCCCUCUCUCUCUGCUUUGGUCCCUCUUCUUUCUUUGUCCCCCCACCAUCACCUCUUGGGGCAGGGAGGGUGAGGCAGUUUGUCCUCCUGCUGCUGUUCCUGCUGGUCCCUCGAGGGCGCCCCGCCCACCGGUCACCCAGCGAACGCGGGGCGGGGCCGCUGCUGGCGCUGGGCCCCAGGGCUUGCAGAGAGAGGGCCACGCCAGCGGAAGGGCCGGCCAGGAGGUGGCAGGACUUGCCUUACUACUGAGUCGCCGGCAUCCCCGCCUCUUCCGGCCUCUCCGCCCGGAGCCCUAGCGUGGAACAUGACCUUUCGGACCCUCUGGGUGGAGACACAGCCUCUGCCUGGGCUGUGCAGUGAGGUGGCACCACCAUCUCAGGUCGUCUGGCCCAGUGCAUCUGUAGCUGGCAUGUGACUUCCAGCAAGCUCCUGCCCCUGAGCGCUGGGAGGAGCAGGUCCAGCAAUAAUUUUUUUUUUUUUUUUUUUGAGACAGAGUUUCGCUCUUGUUGCCCAGGCAAUGGUGUGAUCUGGGCUCACCGCAACCUCCGCCUCCAGGGUUCAAGCGAUUCUCCUGCCUCAGCCUCCGAGUAGCUGGGAUUACAGGCAUGUGCCACCACGCCCGGAUAAUUUUGUAUUUUUAGUAGAGACAGGGUUUCUCCAUGUUGGUCAGGCUGGUCUCAAACUGACCUCAGGUGAUCCGCCCACCUCGGCCUCCCAAAGUGCUGGGAUUACAGGCAUGAGCCACCGCGCCUGGCCGGACAAUAAUGUUUUGAGCUGUUGCUGAGUCUGGCUUUUGUGACGGGAACUUUUAGCACUCAAGGAGUGGCCUUGUCUCUGGCCUGUCCCCGAGUGCUCAUGGGCAGCCAAGGCCUGGGGACUGCUCAGGCAGGGUAGAUGUAUUUGCCAGGCCAGCUCCCGUCCCUGGGACCUCAGGGAGUAGCUUCAUCCCUGAAGGCUGAGUGUCUUCUGCCUCAUGUGGGUGGCCCCUCUGCAGGGUUCUCAGGCAUCCAGGGAAGUGGGUGCCACAGCGUUGCCUCCAGCCUCACUGGGGCUGGCUGGACUUUGCUCUGACAACACAGCAGUGGCUGGGCCCCUGCAACUCUCCAGGGCUCAGUUUCCCUGUUGGCCGCACUAUGGCAUAGGCCCCUGUGUGGACACCGAUGAGCUGACCCCACAAAUGCCACCCGGCCGCUCCCCCAGGCUUCAGUGGCCUAACAGCUGUUGUGUCAGGAACCAGCUUAAAGAAUCUUUCUUGCUUUCUCAAACUCUCCAGGAAUUCCUGGUGACUGGAAGGGGGAGUGACUCAGGCCCUCAACCUCUAGCAGGUAAGGGAGCUACCUCCUGGGUGGGCAUGCCCAGUUCCUCAGUGGGCCCAGCGCGGCCCAGCCUCCGAGGAAGCUCUGAGCAGCUGGCUUGGCUCCGAGGUAUUUUUAGCUACAGAUCCAGCCCCCCUCCAUCACCACAACAGUCGAGUCCAAAUCAAACGCGCUCCAGGCAGGUGGGGCUGGGGUUCUGCCAGCCUCCUGGCCAGCAGGGGUGGGUGGGCAGACUGGGGCCAGUAUCAGCUGUUCUGCCUGGACCCAGGCCGGGCUGGGAAGGCACACUUGUGCUUAUUUCCCGCCUCCACUUCUGUGCAAGCUUGUGCUGUCAUAAGCAGAGAUCACAGCCCCAUUUCUUGGAUGGAGAAAGUGGACACUGAGGUCUGAGGCUUUUGAGGACAGUCAGGAGCCCUCCUAUGGGCUCCAGUGAUGCACUCACCAGCUUCUGGUCCUCUUCUUCCACCUCUUAGAGUGCCUUGGCUCCCUCCUGUCGUCCUGGGGAACCUCGGCCCCAGCCCUGCCUCCCCAGCCAGUCACAGCUCCUCCCUGGUCACCCUGAGGGAGCUCAGGGCCCGGCUGGUAGCUGGGUUGCUCUGCUUCUGUCCCCCACUCCUGUGGAGCCUGGCAGGCAACUCCAUGAUCUGACCCCGGUUACCUUGACAGCCCUGCCUGGCCUCCCCUCUCAUGGCCCAGCCACCCCAGAACCUGAAGAGGUUUUCUAGCUGCCGUGCAUUUGCCAGGCUGGGUUACCCACCCUACUUUCCCUGCCUGCCCUCCAGUGCUGCCAGGCCUAGUGUGCCAGCCAGCGCUCAGCCUUCAGUAAAGGGUUCCCCUGCUUCCAACCUCCAUUGCACUGCUUCCCCUAAGACUGUGACCUCCUGGAAGGCUGGAGCACAACUGCCUCUCAAUAAACGUGUUGCAAAAAAGGAAU
This 5052-nucleotide long non-coding RNA is filed under the name Homo sapiens (human). RNAcentral's name for it is "non-protein coding LINC01089:27". The record is from RNAcentral. Lineage: Eukaryota; Metazoa; Chordata; Mammalia; Primates; Hominidae.